Molecule: long non-coding RNA, 390 nt
Filed under: Anser brachyrhynchus (Pink-footed goose)
Lineage: Eukaryota; Metazoa; Chordata; Aves; Anseriformes; Anatidae
Description: lncRNA (ENSABRG00000005844.1)
Source: RNAcentral
CCUCUUUCUUCUUCCCAUCCCACGUUUUUAGCAUUGAUUUUUCCAGUGGGUCGACUUCUCUUCCAUCGUUACUGCAGGUUUGUUCCUGUACCGCAGCAGUCUGGUUUGGGCAAUGUGUUUCCCCCCGUGGUGCAGUGGCUGCAGAACCGCGCUGACAUCUCCGUCCUGCUCUCCAUGUCCUCGCGCAGCUCAACAGCUCGUGCUCUCGCCCUCGCUGCAAAAGGCUAAUGGGAGAGGUGCCUGUACAAGAGGAGAGGUCCUAUGUUACACAUGUCCCUACCCAACGAGGAAGGAACCAAGGUGCCUCCAGGCCUCUCCCCUGUUUUUGGCCCUGGCACCAGUGGCUUCCUAAAGAACGAGUACAAGCUUGUUUACACACUCUGUCUAUUC